RNAcentral lists this ribosomal RNA (832 nucleotides) under fungal endophyte. Its description in RNAcentral is "eukaryotic LSU rRNA". The stretch from base 359 to 832 matches the Rfam family "Eukaryotic large subunit ribosomal RNA", at positions 1 to 471 of the family's 3401-position model. Lineage: Eukaryota; Fungi. The record is from RNAcentral.
GAUUGCAGUCUGAGUCGAUUAUCAUAAUCAGUUAAAACUUUCAACAACGGAUCUCUUGGUUCCGGCAUCGAUGAAGAACGCAGCGAAAUGCGAUAACUAAUGUGAAUUGCAGAAUUCAGUGAAUCAUCGAGUCUUUGAACGCACAUUGCGCCCCCUGGUAUUCCGGGGGGCAUGCCUGUCCGAGCGUCAUUGCUGCCCUCAAGCACGGCUUGUGUGUUGGGCCGCCGUCCCCGCCUCCCCGGGGACGGGCCCGAAAGGCAGCGGCGGCACCGCGUCCGGUCCUCGAGCGUAUGGGGCUUCGUCACCCGCUCUGCAGGCCCGGCCGGCGCCGGCCGACCACCAACCCACUUCUUAAGGUUGACCUCGGAUCAGGUAGGGAUACCCGCUGAACUUAAGCAUAUCAAUAAGCGGAGGAAAAGAAACCAACAGGGAUUGCCCCAGUAACGGCGAGUGAAGCGGCAAGAGCUCAAAUUUGAAAGCUGGCCCCCCCGGGGUCCGCGUUGUAAUUUGCAGAGGAUGCUUCGGAUGCGGCCCCCGUCUAAGUGCCCUGGAAGGGGCCGUCAUAGAGGGUGAGAAUCCCGUCUGGGACGGGGUGUCCGCGUCCGUGUGAAGCUCCUUCGACGAGUCGAGUUGUUUGGGAAUGCAGCUCUAAAUGGGUGGUAAAUUUCAUCUAAAGCUAAAUACUGGCCGGAGACCGAUAGCGCACAAGUAGAGUGAUCGAAAGAUGAAAAGCACUUUGAAAAGAGAGUUAAACAGCACGUGAAAUUGUUGAAAGGGAAGCGUUUGCGACCAGACUCGCCCGCGGGGUUCAGCCGGCACUCGUGCCGGUGUA